GGGCCAGACUCCUACGGGAGGCAGCAGUGAGGAAUAUUGGUCAAUGGGCGAGAGCCUGAACCAGCCAAGUCGCGUGAGGGAUGACGGCCCUACGGGUUGUAAACCUCUUUUGUCGGGGAGCAAAUUCCGCCACGUGUGGCGGAGUCGAGAGUACCCGAAGAAAAAGCAUCGGCUAACUCCGUGCCAGCAGCCGCGGUAAUACGGAGGAUGCGAGCGUUAUCCGGAUUUAUUGGGUUUAAAGGGUGCGCAGGCGGAAGAUCAAGUCAGCGGUAAAAUUGGGGGGCUCAACCUCUUCGAGCCGUUGAAACUGGUUUUCUUGAGUGAGCGAGAAGUAUGCGGAAUGCGUGGUGUAGCGGUGAAAUGCAUAGAUAUCACGCAGAACUCCGAUUGCGAAGGCAGCAUACCGGCGCCCAACUGACGCUCAGGCACGAAAGCGUGGGUAUCGAACAGGAUUAGAUACCCUCGUACA
This 469-nucleotide ribosomal RNA is filed under the name uncultured bacterium. Its description in RNAcentral is "bacterial SSU rRNA". It matches the Rfam family "Bacterial small subunit ribosomal RNA", at positions 328 to 794 of the family's 1533-position model. The record is from RNAcentral.